GCCGAUGUAGCUCAAUGGUAGAGCAACCGCUUUGUAAGCGGUGGGUUGGAGGUUCGAGUCCUCUCGUCGGCU
This 72-nucleotide transfer RNA is filed under the name Candidatus Gottesmanbacteria bacterium. Its description in RNAcentral is "tRNA-Thr". It matches the Rfam family "tRNA". Rfam says of the family: Transfer RNA (tRNA) molecules are approximately 80 nucleotides in length. Their secondary structure includes four short double-helical elements and three loops (D, anti-codon, and T loops). The record is from RNAcentral. Lineage: Bacteria; Candidatus Gottesmaniibacteriota.